Molecule: long non-coding RNA, 1827 nt
Filed under: Homo sapiens (human)
Lineage: Eukaryota; Metazoa; Chordata; Mammalia; Primates; Hominidae
Description: HSALNT0302700
Source: RNAcentral
UUUGGAUUACAAAGAAGAGAUUGAGUUAUCCUGCAGAGAGAUGGUGCAAUAAGCAGAUUUUUCUCUUCUUUCAUCCACAGCAUUAUUUCAGCUGGGAGCUGUAGUAUGUGACUAAUUAGCCAAUGGAAGUCCACUCUCUGGACUUUCUGGUGGUAUAUUUACACUGAAUUCUGGCCUGAUAAUAAAGGUGUCACCCAGUGUAACAAUGUGACACACCCAGAGUGAAGAAGAAAAGUCUAAGAUAACACAGAGCCUCUGUCAGCCCUCAAACUUAUUUUUCACAAGCUUCAGCAAUAUUCCAAACAACAAAAGAAAUAUGACUGAACAGACACAAAUUUUGAGGACAUAUUUUUUCCCCAGUAUUUUUUUAACAGGUACUACUGAUGUCCCAGUGCUUUUGAGGGUCUUGUUUGUCCUCCUGGAUGCUUUAGGAAGUUACCACUUUCAGCUCACCUAGAGCUGAUCUCAUUAAUAAAAGAAUGACUUUACAGAAAAGAGUUUCUAAAAUUAUACUCUCACUCAGAAUUGCAAGAGUUGGCUUUUCAGCCUGAAGAUAAAUUUCUUAAGCAUUAAGCUUACUUUAUCAAGUAUUACACCUGACAUUCUCUCAUAAAUUUUGCAUAUAUUUUAACUAAUUUUAAUAUUGUGUGGGCUUGGUUUAUAAUAUUCUCAUGCAGUUACUAAAGUUGAAUCUUCUCAGUCAUAUAUUAGUUGUAAGAAUGCUUAACCCCUUCCAAAAUAUCACUCACUUAAAAUCACAUCAGCUAAGUCUCCUCUUAUUUUUGCUUAUUUCUUGGUUAUUUACCAUGCAUUUUGUGUAUGUUGGAACCAGCCAUGCAGUCGUUGUAUUCCUUUUUUGAGAGGGCAAAUGUAUUUUGACAAGGUUGCUAUUGGAAACACUUUUUAAAUAUCUCAUGUGUCACAUCACAAUCAGCAUCAUAAUCUGAUCAGGUGGAUUAAUUUCAGAAGGCAGCAGAGGGCAUUGCUUACAGGGGUCACAGACAUUCAGAUCAUGGCAGAACUGUCACAGAUGUUACUUUGUGAAAACACAAAGAAUAAUGUGUUUGGAGAGAUCAGUCUUCAAUUAGCUAUAUUUUCUAGGAGCCUACCUUUACUUAGCCUCACAACAUGGGCCUUAGCUUUAGCACUUAAUCUGCACAAAUACCUGGCUUAAGUGUUAUGACUGACUGGCUAUUCAACCAAACCAUACAAAUGACCAAUUCGGUAAGAAAGCAUGAACUUCAGUGUUGAACCAAAUCAACCAACCUCCUCAAUCCAAAUGGAGAGGAUAACAAAGGAAGCUGAGGAAGUCUGUUCUGGAGGCACCAUGACAAAGCACCAGACAGAAAGCAGUCACGUGUGGGGAGAUGAGCAGAGACACCACUUCUCAAGCACCUGAUUAUUCUUUCUCAGUAUUUAGAAGCAAAAAUUAUCCUUAAGAAAAACAACCGCAAACGCAACACAGGCUACACAGAUGAGAAAAUGGGGCUUGCAGAGCUCAAACCAUUACACCAUUCAGAAGCUGGCUUUGGUAUUACUUCAAGUUAUUCAAAACAGUCACCACUUGCUGAGCCUCUGAUGUCUCAUCUGUUGAAUGGGUACAUUUUCUUCCUGAUCCUUCCACCUCUAAACUUGUCUAUUUCCAAGGAUCUAUGGCAUCCAGGCAUAUGAUUUCAAGAGAGAAGGCUGAAAAGGAAGGUGACUGGAAUAUUAAGAACUGUGAGAUAUUCUGAGGAAACUCUAAUUUGUAAAUUGGUAGAAAUGCCAGUAAUUUGUUGGGAAUUGAAGACCCUCUGUAUUCAAGAGCGAAGCUUGGCAGCUGUGCAC